This is a long non-coding RNA of Herpailurus yagouaroundi (jaguarundi), 896 nucleotides long. RefSeq lists it as uncharacterized. Lineage: Eukaryota; Metazoa; Chordata; Mammalia; Carnivora; Felidae. The record is from RefSeq and is a predicted model, not a curated record. The transcript has 3 exons.
GCAGAUUCUGUUCUGGAGGGUGCCCCACCCUGCGUCCUGUCCAUCGGGAGCAGCGGACAAACACGCUGGAAUUUCUAACAGACAGGGACAGGUGUCCCGCUCACUGGAUAAAGUGUGGAGCCGCACAGAGAAACACACACCGUCUCUGCUGAGGGAAUCCCGGGCUGGUGCAGAGUGACUGCACCAGCUUACAUUCCCACGCAGGUGACUUGCCAUUGACCCAGGGCUGUACAAGGGGGCUGACGAACGCUUACCUAACUGCACUACCCGGCCAAAGAGGUCAAACCCAGGAGGUUCCCAAGCCGAGCCUUCAAAGCCCCCAGCAGUGUUUGAACUAGGGUCGCUCCCCUUUUGAAAGGCUGGACUGAUGAGCACAGACUGAGGUCCUUCAGCUGGCCUUGCUCCCUACCCCUUCCUCCUCCCUUCUCUCUCACUUCUUCAUCCUCUCCUUUUCCAAUCCCUAAUGUAGUUCCGCUUUGUCUCCUUUGUGGGCUGAAUCGUGUCCCCUCAAAACCUUUAAGUGGAAGCCCUAACACCCAGUACUUGAGCAUGUGACUGCAUGUGGAGGCAGGGCCUCUGAAGAGGUGGCUGAGUUAAGAUGAGGCUGUUAGGCCCUCACCCCAUCUGACUUGGGUGUCCCCAUCAGAAGAGGAAAGUUGGCCACAGAUGCGCACGGAGAAAAGACCAUGUGAGGACACAGUGAGAAGGCGGCCAUCUGCAAGCCAAAGAGAGGUCUCAGGAGAAACCUCAGGAGAAACUGAGCCUGCCGACACCUUGAUCUUGGACUUCGAGAACUGUGAGAAAUAACUUUGCUGUGUAAGCUCCUGUGCUGUUCGGCUGUUGGCCGGAGCAAACUAAUCUGCCUCCCUCAAAAAAUCCUCAUUGCCACAGCAUCA